This is a ribosomal RNA of Glarea lozoyensis 74030, 120 nucleotides long. NCBI's taxonomy places the organism in Eukaryota, Fungi, Ascomycota, Leotiomycetes, Helotiales, Helotiaceae. The record is from Rfam.
ACAUACGACCAUAGACUGAAGAGCAUAGGGCAUCCCGUCCGCUCUGCCAAACUCAAGCUUCAGAUCGGUAGAUUAGUAGUUGGGUGGGUGACCACCAGCGAAUACCUACUGUUGUAUGUU